CUGGCAACGGCGGUGCGGCGGUGAUCGUGCAGCCGAGAAGCAGCGGCAGCGGUGGAGAAGGAGGAGUCGGCGGUUGUAGAGGCGACCGACGCUUGCGGCAGCAGAGGGACCGGCGGCUGCUCUGUUUCUAUCGCACCAUAGAAACAGCGACGCCGACAGAUCGCACGGCCGAAGCUGCAACCAAGGGAAGCCAGCGAUGGCGGUGUGGCUAGGGCAGCGUCGCCGACGGUAUAAGCGGCGAUGGGUGGUCCGCUGGCUGGGAAUCGGCGGCCGCGGCCCUUCUCGCUCGAGCGAGAUGCGGGCAGCGAGGAGGCGAGGUGAGAAGGUUGCUGGCCGAGGCACAGCGGCAGCGGUGGGCGCUGACCGGGGAGCGGCGGCGGCGGU
RNAcentral lists this long non-coding RNA (384 nucleotides) under Musa acuminata (dwarf banana). Its description in RNAcentral is "long non-coding RNA (MACU_LNC007711)". The record is from RNAcentral. Lineage: Eukaryota; Viridiplantae; Streptophyta; Magnoliopsida; Zingiberales; Musaceae.